CCUACGGAGGCAGCAGUGGGGAUAUUGCACAAUGGGGGCAAGCCUGAUGCAGCCAUGCCGCGUGUGUGAAGAAGGCCUUCGGGUUGUAAAGCACUUUCAGUCGUGAGGAAGGUAGUGUAGUUAAUAGCUGCAUUAUUUGACGUUAGCGACAGAAGAAGCACCGGCUAACUCCGUGCCAGCAGCGCGGUAA
RNAcentral lists this ribosomal RNA (190 nucleotides) under uncultured Vibrio sp. Its description in RNAcentral is "partial 16S ribosomal RNA". It matches the Rfam family "Bacterial small subunit ribosomal RNA", at positions 338 to 523 of the family's 1533-position model. The record is from RNAcentral. Lineage: Bacteria; Pseudomonadati; Pseudomonadota; Gammaproteobacteria; Vibrionales; Vibrionaceae.